RNAcentral lists this transfer RNA (73 nucleotides) under Anaerolineales bacterium. Its description in RNAcentral is "tRNA-Arg". It matches the Rfam family "tRNA". From Rfam's summary of the family: Transfer RNA (tRNA) molecules are approximately 80 nucleotides in length. Their secondary structure includes four short double-helical elements and three loops (D, anti-codon, and T loops). The record is from RNAcentral. Lineage: Bacteria; Bacillati; Chloroflexota; Anaerolineae; Anaerolineales.
GCCCCAGUAGCUCAAAGGAUAGAGCAGCGGUCUUCUAAACCGUUGGUUGGGGGUUCGAGUCCCUCCUGGGGCA